GAACGGCAUAAUGAUGUAUACUUUAUUGUCAUGCUACUUGCUACAUACUGCUAUAUACUUAUCAUAUACUAAUUAAGCUGCAUACUAACGUACACUUAUGUCAUGCUAGCUUGCCGCAGGCUACUACAUACCUAUCACAUACUAACUGGGCCGCAUUCUAAGGCAUACUUUUAUUACACACUGCUGGCUACAUACUAUACUAUCACAUACUACGGUAUAC
Molecule: non-coding RNA, 220 nt
Organism: Pelobates cultripes (western spadefoot toad)
Lineage: Eukaryota; Metazoa; Chordata; Amphibia; Anura; Pelobatidae
Source: the annotation of a GenBank genome assembly